RNAcentral lists this transfer RNA (59 nucleotides) under Aquisalibacillus elongatus. RNAcentral describes it as "tRNA-Arg". It matches the Rfam family "tRNA", at positions 9 to 63 of the family's 71-position model. From Rfam's summary of the family: Transfer RNA (tRNA) molecules are approximately 80 nucleotides in length. Their secondary structure includes four short double-helical elements and three loops (D, anti-codon, and T loops). Further hydrogen bonds mediate the characteristic L-shaped molecular structure. tRNAs have two regions of fundamental functional importance: the anti-codon, which is responsible for specific mRNA codon recognition, and the 3' end, to which the tRNAs corresponding amino acid is attached (by aminoacyl-tRNA synthetases). tRNAs cope with the degeneracy of the genetic code in two manners: having more than one tRNA (with a specific anti-codon) for a particular amino acid; and 'wobble' base-pairing, i.e. permitting non-standard base-pairing at the 3rd anti-codon position. Lineage: Bacteria; Bacillati; Bacillota; Bacilli; Caryophanales; Bacillaceae. The record is from RNAcentral.
GGAGUGUAACGGAUAACACAUGAGAUUCCGGUUCUCACGAUGGGGGUUCGAUUCCCUCC